UCUUACAGUCACCAACCGAAAUUAACAAAUAUCACAUAGCAAAAUUCUUAUAUUUUCAAAUGCUUAAAAGAACCUUUCGUCAUAGUAUACUCCUCGAAAGGGUUUUUAUAUGUCCAAAAAAAUACAUGAACAAUGUUGAAAAAUGAAGUUCUAACAAACUGCACUGUUGUAGCCGAAUACAACUGAGAAAAUGCAGAUUUUCAGUUCGAAUAUGGCCUGGAUCAAUCAACACUUCAAACAUUAAUAUUAUCAAUUAUGAACACAUAAUUAACACCAAAUUAAUCUCCACAAAUUCACACUUCAAUUACACAUCGAAUAUUCAUAACAUCAAUUAUGAACACAUAAGUACAUCAAAA
Molecule: long non-coding RNA, 356 nt
Filed under: Cicer arietinum (chickpea)
Lineage: Eukaryota; Viridiplantae; Streptophyta; Magnoliopsida; Fabales; Fabaceae
Description: long non-coding RNA (CARI_LNC000247)
Source: RNAcentral